UACGUAGGGCGCAAGCGUUGUCCGGAAUUAUUGGGCGUAAAGAGCUCGUAGGUGGUUUGUCGCGUUGUUCGUGAAAUGCCACAGCUUAACUGUGGGCGUGCGGGCGAUACGGGCAGACUGGAGUACUGCAGGGGAGACUGGAAUUCCUGGUGUAGCGGUGGAAUGCGCAGAUAUCAGGAGGAACACCGGUGGCGAAGGCGGGUCUCUGGGCAGUAACUGACGCUGAGGAGCGAAAGCGUGGGGAGCGAACAGG
RNAcentral lists this ribosomal RNA (253 nucleotides) under uncultured bacterium. RNAcentral's name for it is "partial 16S ribosomal RNA". It matches the Rfam family "Bacterial small subunit ribosomal RNA", at positions 524 to 776 of the family's 1533-position model. The record is from RNAcentral.